CAGCCGCCGCGGUAAAACGAAGGGGGCUAGCGUUGUUCGGAAUUACUGGGCGUAAAGGGCGCGUAGGCGGCCAUUCAAGUUAGAUGUGAAAGCCCUGGGCUCAACCUAGGAAUUGCAUUUGAUACUGUUUGGCUUGAGUUCGGGAGAGGUGAGUGGAAUUCCCAGUGUAGAGGUGAAAUUCGUAGAUAUUGGGAAGAACACCAGUGGCGAAGGCGGCUCACUGGACCGACACUGACGCUGAGGCGCGAAAGCGUGGGGAGCAAACAGGAUUAGAUACCCCCGUAGUCCCUGUCUUUAUACA
This 301-nucleotide ribosomal RNA is filed under the name uncultured bacterium. RNAcentral describes it as "partial 16S ribosomal RNA". It matches the Rfam family "Bacterial small subunit ribosomal RNA", at positions 509 to 809 of the family's 1533-position model. The record is from RNAcentral.